RNAcentral lists this unclassified non-coding RNA (343 nucleotides) under soil metagenome. RNAcentral's name for it is "partial contains 5.8S ribosomal RNA, internal transcribed spacer 2, and large subunit ribosomal RNA". The stretch from base 1 to 120 matches the Rfam family "5.8S ribosomal RNA", at positions 35 to 154 of the family's 154-position model. The record is from RNAcentral.
GAUGAAGAACUUAGUGAAAUGCGAUAAGUAAUGUGAAUUGCAGAAUUCAGUGAAUCAUCGAAUCUUUGAACGCACAUUGCGCCCGCCAGCAUUCUGGCGGGCAUGCCUGUUCGAGCGUCAUUUCAACCCUCGAGCCCCCCCGGGGGCCUCGGUGUUGGGGGACGGCACACCAGCCGCCCCCGAAAUGCAGUGGCGACCCCGCCGCAGCCUCCCCUGCGUAGUAGCACACACCUCGCACCGGAGCGCGGAGGCGGUCACGCCGUAAAACGCCCAACUUUCUUAGAGUUGACCUCGGAUCAGGUAGGAAUACCCGCUGAACUUAAGCAUAUCAAUAAGCGGAGGA